AUAGAGGUUCAGAAUGCGCUGAUAUAGUGAGGAGACGUCUGGGCGUCAAGUUCUGCAGUGAGAACAUUUAGCUGGACCUGGCGGAACUCCGCUGUGCUCUGCUCUCCUCCUAUGAGAAAGCUCACCAAAAGUUACAAGCUCUCCACUAUGCCCAGGACAACAAGGCAGGAAGACAAACGUCAGAUAACACCCACAGGCUCCUAAAUAUUUUUUAUAAUGGUGCUUUCCAAUGGAUCACUCUCUAGGGAGUUUGCAAUCACGAACAGCUCGAGACAGAGACCACUUAUAGAUAGCACGGCAUAUAAGGACCAUAUUUACCCCCAGAAUGCAGCUACUGAAGAAAGAAGGAGCCUCCUGAAACGUGUUUAGCCGUUCAGUUUAUUGCAUCCCCCAUGAUAAUUUACUAGGGGACCUUCCCUACAGAGCAUAAAAGAACAUUAUUAAUAUUGGUUUAGCCAAUUCAAAACCAGCUUUUUUUUUUCUUCCCCUUUGAGCGCACUCAGAAACACUUUCAGACACCGCCAGCGCAAACACAAGGAUUUGGUGAGCAAGCCCCAACAUCGCCCAAGAGGAUUUUACUCACAAGCCUGGAUACCAGGAUAUCGCUUCUGCUCUCAAGCGCUCGCCAAACGGGACUGUUUGCCUAACCAGUGACUGCCGAGAGCAGUGCGAGCUCGAGGGUGGACUUACCAACCAAGUGCCCGGCCGGACAGGUGAGCAGGACAUAGUCCCACAAUCUUUCUACUCACAGGAUCACAAGCUGCAUAGCUAUCAUCAUCAAUUGAUGCCUGGCAAUGGAGGCAUCGCAUAAACUGCCAUCACUGUGAGUGCACUGCAUUUCUUGAACUCAAAGAGAAACCCAUCUUUCCACAGGAUUGUAUUUUUCUUACAGGACUGAGAUUGUUGCACUGCCUGCCACUAUCUUUCCACAGGAAUAUCCGUGAUAAUACGGACACUUUAUCUGUAGGACAUUACCUCAUCCACAUUUAGGGGGAUUGCAUUAAUUUAUUUGUUUUAUUGCUUAUUUACCUUGUGUUAUUAAAUUUUUGUACUGAUUUUAGGUGGGAAUCGCAAGGGCCCUUUGAUACCCUUGUGUAUUUUAUUAGUGAUAAAUUCACAUAUUUACUUGUUGCACUUGAUUACUGGUCAGAUAUUUCUCUUUUCGUACUCCUCUGAUUUCUCUUCACCUCUCUUUCCCCUUCCACCAUUUUCCCUCUUUCCCUCUUGUUCUAUAUACUCAGCACUCCCUCUGCUUCUUUCUGAAUUAUAUCUUCAUUGUAAGUUCAUCCCCAGAACUAGUAUUAUACUAUUACCUAUACUCCCAUUCGCAUUGGUAUCACUACUAUUACCAUUCUACCCACGGUGUUCCAGUUUUUCCUUAUAGAGAAUUAUAUUAUCUUUUUGUUAAUUCCCAAUUGACAUAAUAAGAACAUUUCUGUUAGCCUAAUAUCCAAAUAUGAACCUUACAAAACAUUUUAUCCAAUAUUUUGUUUAACUAAACAUUAAAUAUUUCCACUACUGAAAGUCUGCAAAAUGAUUAUUAACCAAUGCAAGGAUGUGGCGGUACACAUCUAGUUGCUAUGGCUA
This is a long non-coding RNA of Hyla sarda, 1587 nucleotides long. RefSeq lists it as uncharacterized. The transcript has 4 exons. The record is from RefSeq and is a predicted model, not a curated record. Lineage: Eukaryota; Metazoa; Chordata; Amphibia; Anura; Hylidae.